UUAAAGCUGGAAUUAUGGGGCAAUCUAAAUAUUAUUCAUCACCAAAAGUAAGGAUCAUUUGUCCCCUUCUGUGUUUACAAUUUUUUUUUAAUUUUACUAGUGUGAUAAAUGGAUCUGGGGAACCAAGAAAAUGACCACUCAAUCUACAGUAUUUGAGCCAGGCUAUAAGUCCUGCUGAGAAUUUAUUCUAAUGCAAAUAAAUGGUUGCCAUGCCUUACUCUGAGUGGUCAGAGCUUGGCCUCAUAUUACUUACUACAUAGCUGGUUACUCAAAGUGGUCCACUUGAUAAGCAGAAUGCACUUGGGAAUACCUAGUGUAACCUUGCAUACAUAUUUGUAUUUCAUUAUAUGUAUGUUGGCAUUUGAAGAUACUGUCUCAGAUAUGGUGGUAGUGAAAAAUUAUUUUUAGAAUGCAGAAAACGAAACUGUGCCGCUCAUCUUCUACCAUACUCCGCAUAAACGGGUCAUGGAUGUCAAAAUGAACCCUGAUACUCUGACAAUGCCAAAGGACAUGGGAGAGAAAAUACUCCCACUUCUAAGCACAGAUGUGAGCUUUCAGCCUCCUGUUCCAGCCGCCAUGCCUGCUUGAUGCCCUCACUCCGACAUAACGGACUCGAAGCCUCUGUAACUACAAGCCAAAAUAAACAAUUCCUUCUAUGUG
This is a long non-coding RNA of Peromyscus californicus insignis, 660 nucleotides long. RefSeq lists it as uncharacterized. The record is from RefSeq and is a predicted model, not a curated record. The transcript is spliced from 2 exons. NCBI's taxonomy places the organism in Eukaryota, Metazoa, Chordata, Mammalia, Rodentia, Cricetidae.